This 253-nucleotide ribosomal RNA is filed under the name uncultured bacterium. Its description in RNAcentral is "partial 16S ribosomal RNA". It matches the Rfam family "Bacterial small subunit ribosomal RNA", at positions 524 to 776 of the family's 1533-position model. The record is from RNAcentral.
UACAGAGGUCUCGAGCGUUAGGCGGAAUCACUGGGCUUAAAGCGUGUGUAGGCGGAUCGGUAAGUACCUUGUGAAAUCCCACGGCUUAACCGUGGAACUGCUUGGUAUACUGCCAGUCUUGAGCCAGCUAGGGGCUACCGGAACAAAUGGUGGAGCGGUGAAAUGCGUAGAUAUCAGGAGGAACACCGGUGGUGUAGACGGCUCUCUGGACCGUAACUGACGCUGAGACACGAAAGCGUGGGUAGCAAACAGG